AAUCAACGCUGGCGGCGUGCCUAACACAUGCAAGUCGAACGCGAAAGGGGCGCAAGCCCUGAGUAGAGUGGCAAACGGGUGAGUAACACGUGGGUGACCUGCCUUCGAGUGGGGGAUAACGUCCCGAAAGGGACGCUAAUACCGCAUAACAUCCUGCCCUUGGACGGGUGGAGAUCAAAGCUGGGGAUCGCAAGACCUGGCGCUUAGAGAGGGGCCCGCGCCUGAUUAGCAGUUGGUGGGGUAACGGCCU
Molecule: ribosomal RNA, 250 nt
Filed under: uncultured bacterium
Lineage: Bacteria
Description: partial 16S ribosomal RNA
Rfam family: Bacterial small subunit ribosomal RNA
Source: RNAcentral